This 98-nucleotide transfer RNA is filed under the name Rhodococcoides kroppenstedtii. RNAcentral describes it as "tRNA-Arg". Lineage: Bacteria; Bacillati; Actinomycetota; Actinomycetes; Mycobacteriales; Nocardiaceae. The record is from RNAcentral.
CGUCCCGCCAGCAUGGGGAUGCGAAGCCGGUCCGUCACGUGCGGAUCGGCGAGCACCUCGGGGGCGAGCCCCGUGGGUUCGGGGCCCAGCAGGAAGAC